GACGAACGCUGGCGGCGUGCUUAACACAUGCAAGUCGAACGGAAAGGCCCUGCUUGCAGGGUACUCGAGUGGCGAACGGGUGAGUAACACGUGGGUGAUCUGCCCUGCACUUCGGGAUAAGCCUGGGAAACUGGGUCUAAUACCGGAUAGGAGCCAUUUUUAGUGUGAUGGUUGGAAAGUUUUUUCGGUGUAGGAUGAGCUCGCGGCCUAUCAGCUUGUUGGUGGGGUAAUGGCCUACCAAGGCGGCGACGGGUAGCCGGCCUGAGAGGGUGGACGGCCACAUUGGGACUGAGAUACGGCCCAGACGCCUACGGGAGGCAGCAGUGGGGAAGAUUGCACAAUGGGCGCAAGCCUGAUGCAGCGAGGCCGCGUGGGGGAUGACGGCCUUCGGGUUGUAAACUCCUUUCGCUAGGGACGAAGCUUUUUGUGACGGUACCUAGAUAAGAAGCACCGGCUAACUACGUG
Molecule: ribosomal RNA, 465 nt
Filed under: uncultured bacterium
Lineage: Bacteria
Description: partial 16S ribosomal RNA
Rfam family: Bacterial small subunit ribosomal RNA
Source: RNAcentral